AGAAUUAGGACUGUCCUUUAGAGAUAUAGUCAUGACUUGCACGUGCCAAAGGAGCCUCUGUAUAUAUUUUUAGAUGCCAAUGUGGCCCCAGUUCUUCUGCAUCCACAUGCAGCUCCAAACAUUUUAAAGGAGAGCGUUUGGUGAAUGCGUUUGGUUUUGGUGUCACCUGUGUGGUUGUUAUGUGCAUCCAUGUCUAUGUCCACAUGUGAAUAAACUACAGACAGAAAGCUAAGUCCAAGAAAUGAGCACUGCUUUUAUUCCCCUCCCAUGAUGAGCUCAUCUACAAAGCCCCUGUGGUCAGCUUGGUUUCCUCUGGCAGAGUCCUGAUGCCCUUUUCCCUGCCCUUUACCCUGCAGUUUGUCUCACUUGUCCCCUGUCUCAGAAGGGAGCUGCUCCCUCAGUCUCACUUGAGUUGGGCUUUUUAUUCAGUGUGGUACUGGUGCAAAUAUUUGGUGAUCCUUUUUAUUAAGAAGAUAAACUCCUGCAGUUUGUUCUAGGUGGAAUUUUCAGAGUGCUUGACUUCAUUCCUAGACAAAGGAGGGACCUAAAGCCCAUCUGUAUACUGUAUACUAGGAGUUUUGCCAUUGAUUCAAUGAGCUCUGGAUCAAGCCAGUCAUUGAAUUGCAGUAAUCGAGUCUGGAAGCCAUCAAAGCACAUCUAUCGUCCGCCUUAUUGCCCUCUGUGAGGUCCUAGAAUGUGAGAUAUUUCUAGUGGCCUGGAAGAGCCAGUAGAUUUCACAGAAAUUAAGGAUGACAAGGAAAUUGAUCUGGAACACCUCCACAGGCGCGUGAACAGUCUCUGCACAGAUGAUGACAGUCCCCAUAAACAGUUUUCCACGUCCUCAAUUGACUUGACCCCACUGGACAUUGACACUUUGCCCACCCGUCAAGCACUGGAGCAAAUCAGUGACUUCAGAAACACUCACAUCACCACAACAACCUUCAUACCAGAACAGAUCCAGACGUUGAGCCGCACGCUGUCUGCCAAAGCUGCUUCUGGCUUCUCCUUCGGCAGCGUACCCGAGCACCGAACUGGCCCUUUUAGGCACAGGGCACCAAACGGAGGCUUUUUCAGAAGCCCCAUCAAAACAAUGUCAUCUAUCCCUUACCAACCAACUCCAACUCUGGGGCUGAACCUCGGCAGUGACCCAGACCGAGGCACCUCCAUAUGAGCAUCAGACCGAAUUUCUUCACUGUUUCUUUUCUAGGACUCCCUUUGCAAGGAGCGGCUGUAAUGUUGUGGGACUAACAUGGAUGUAACCUUUUUCUUUUCUUUUGUUUUUGUUUUUAAAAUUUGAUUUUUAUUUUUCUUUAUUUAAGAAAAGAAUCAGGAUUAUUAGUAACAACUCUUCCUCUUCUCUGCUUUCUCAGUCUGGUCUCCUCUUUCCUUUCUCUCUUUAUUCUCUUUACUACUCUAGUCACUUAUUCUUUCAUUUAUCACCGUAUUAGGUUUGGUUACUUCAGGCUAUUCAUAUACUUAAAUAUAGGAAACGUGUAGCGAUUAAUGCAUAAGAAAACCCUGAGGAUUACUUUACAGAAGAGCACUGGCUCCUCCUCCCCAACUGCCUUUUUUUACUAUACUUGCAAUAACUUAAGUCCUUUACAUCUAUUCUGCUGCGUGCGGUCAGCGCUCCACUGCUGUGUGUCCUUUUAACUGUGGACCAAAGGCAAACCCUGCAGUUUAAAAGACAGAAAGAAAAAAAAAAA
Non-coding RNA from Meleagris gallopavo (turkey), 1706 nucleotides. NCBI's taxonomy places the organism in Eukaryota, Metazoa, Chordata, Aves, Galliformes, Phasianidae. The record is from RefSeq and is a predicted model, not a curated record.